RNAcentral lists this ribosomal RNA (484 nucleotides) under uncultured bacterium. RNAcentral's name for it is "partial 16S ribosomal RNA". It matches the Rfam family "Bacterial small subunit ribosomal RNA", at positions 30 to 507 of the family's 1533-position model. The record is from RNAcentral.
AUUGAACGCUGGCGGCAGGCCUAACACAUGCAAGUCGAGCGGAUGAAGGGAGCUUGCUCCUGGAUUCAGCGGCGGACGGGUGAGUAAUGCCGAGGAAUCUGCCUGGUAGUGGGGGAUAACGUCCGGAAACGGGCGCUAAUACCGCAUACGUCCUGAGGGAGAAAGUGGGGGAUUUUCGGACCUCACGCUAUCAGAUGAGCCUAGGUCGGAUUAGCUAGUUGGUGGGGUAAAGGCCUACCAAGGCGACGAUCCGUAACUGGUCUGAGAGGAUGAUCGGUCACACUGGAACUGAGACACGGUCCAGACUCCUACGGGAGGCAGCAGUGGGGAAUAUUGGACAAUGGGCGAAAGCCUGAUCCAGCCAUGCCGCGUGUGUGAAGAAGGUCUUCGGAUUGUAAAGCACUUUAAGUUGGGAGGAAGGGCAGUAAGUUAAUACCUUGCUGUUUUGACGUUACCAACAGAAUAAGCACCGGCUAACUUCGUG